This 120-nucleotide transfer RNA is filed under the name Rhizoctonia solani. Its description in RNAcentral is "tRNA-Lys". It matches the Rfam family "tRNA". Rfam says of the family: Transfer RNA (tRNA) molecules are approximately 80 nucleotides in length. Their secondary structure includes four short double-helical elements and three loops (D, anti-codon, and T loops). Further hydrogen bonds mediate the characteristic L-shaped molecular structure. tRNAs have two regions of fundamental functional importance: the anti-codon, which is responsible for specific mRNA codon recognition, and the 3' end, to which the tRNAs corresponding amino acid is attached (by aminoacyl-tRNA synthetases). tRNAs cope with the degeneracy of the genetic code in two manners: having more than one tRNA (with a specific anti-codon) for a particular amino acid; and 'wobble' base-pairing, i.e. permitting non-standard base-pairing at the 3rd anti-codon position. The record is from RNAcentral. Lineage: Eukaryota; Fungi; Basidiomycota; Agaricomycetes; Cantharellales; Ceratobasidiaceae. RNAcentral also lists the same sequence under 1 other name.
GCCCUGCUAGCUCAAUCGGUAGAGCGUGAGACUUUUACAAGCCUCGGCAGUAAAACAUCAUCGCGUAAAAGAAUCGGUCACGUGAUCUCAAGGCUGCGGGUUCGAGCCCCGCGUGGGGCU